GUCUAUGGCCAUGCCACCCUGAACAAGCCCUAUCCCGUCUGAUCUCGGAAGCUAAGCAGGGUCGGUCAGGCCUGGUUAGUACUUGGAUGGGAGACCACCUAGGAAGACCAGGUGCUGUAGGCA
RNAcentral lists this ribosomal RNA (123 nucleotides) under Pteropus alecto (black flying fox). Lineage: Eukaryota; Metazoa; Chordata; Mammalia; Chiroptera; Pteropodidae. The record is from RNAcentral.